This 72-nucleotide transfer RNA is filed under the name Apaloderma vittatum (bar-tailed trogon). It matches the Rfam family "tRNA". Rfam says of the family: Transfer RNA (tRNA) molecules are approximately 80 nucleotides in length. The record is from Rfam by way of RNAcentral. Lineage: Eukaryota; Metazoa; Chordata; Aves; Trogoniformes; Trogonidae.
GCCUGGUUAGCUCAGUCAGUUGAGUGUGGUGCUGAUAACACCAAGGUCGCAGGUUUGAUCCCUGCUCAGUCC